UACGUAGGGUGCAAGCGUUGUCCGGAUUCAUUGGGCGUAAAGGGUCCGUAGGCGGCUCAGCAAGUCGGGUGUGAAAUCUCCAGGCUCAACCUGGAGGGCCACUCGAUACUGCUGUGGCUUGAGUCCAGUAGGGGAGCGAUGGAAUUCCCGGGUAGUUCGAGCGGUGAAAUGCGGCAGAAUAUCGGGAGGAACACCAGUGGGCGAAGGGCGGUCG
This 214-nucleotide ribosomal RNA is filed under the name uncultured bacterium. RNAcentral's name for it is "partial 16S ribosomal RNA". It matches the Rfam family "Bacterial small subunit ribosomal RNA", at positions 524 to 727 of the family's 1533-position model. The record is from RNAcentral.